Molecule: non-coding RNA, 72 nt
Organism: Acanthoscelides obtectus
Lineage: Eukaryota; Metazoa; Arthropoda; Insecta; Coleoptera; Chrysomelidae
Source: the annotation of a GenBank genome assembly
GCCUCUGUAGUUCAGUGAUAGAGCACUGGCCUUGUAAACCAGGGGCUGUGAGUUCAAUCCUUACAGGAAGCA